This is a long non-coding RNA of Nicotiana tabacum (common tobacco), 1139 nucleotides long. RefSeq lists it as uncharacterized. The record is from RefSeq and is a predicted model, not a curated record. Lineage: Eukaryota; Viridiplantae; Streptophyta; Magnoliopsida; Solanales; Solanaceae.
UUGAGUGAGACCCUCCCCCCUUAAAACCCUAGAAACUCACACAUAACUCGUCUCUCUCACCCCUCUCUCACUAUCCGCCGCCUCCGCCGCCGGAAAUCACCCUACGGCGACAGCCCAUCGCCAAAUAACCCCAAAACUUCACCAUAUAAUCCCAAGAUUCUUUCAUCACCAAUCUACCAUUAAUUCCCCUCAAUUUCCAUUAGAACUCCAUGAAUUUUAGAUCUUAAUCUAGGAAAAACCUAAAUCCACCCCUUUUCAAUUUUUUCUCAAAAAUCCCAAUUUGUUUGGGCUUAAAACCAAUGUCAAUCGACCGUUGUUGUUGAAUGUUACAAGUUGGCUUGGUUGUGUCUCGUUUCAAGGUCGUCGUUCAACUCGCCACUAGCUGGUCAGUUUUGUGGAAAGCCACUGUAAUUCUAGGUCCUUUUCCUUUUUCUUGGUUCAUUUUUGUCAUCUCUACUUGAAACACUGUCUACUCCCUUAAGCGUGAGUCAGUGUUCAUGUUGUGAUGCCUGACAUCCUCCAGAAUUUCCUUAUGUUCGAUGAUAUAUUGAUUUUGAGCACUAUUGAAUUCAUGUGAGUCAUUCAACUAUUCCCUGUGUUAUUGUACGAGCUGCCAGAUUGUGGAAUUCAUCUUAUAAUAACAUUGGGAUUCAUAAUUAAUUAGUUCCAAUCUUAUAGCCUAUUUUUUUAUUUGAGUAGUUUCUUUUGGUCUCAAUUUGUAAUUAAGUGAACCUUCCUCCACUGAGUAGUGUAUCUCAAUCCAUUAGUGCACUAUUCAGUUAAUUCAAUUCAAAUUAAUAUUACAGUUUCAAAUGUAGAAUUAAAUGUAGCAUUUUGAUCCAGUAAUGUGAUUUUCAUAUCCCGAUAUUUGGAAGUUCGUCUAAAUCGCUGCUAGUUAUUGCCAUUUAAUUUGCUAGUUUCCAAACUUGUUUUGAUGUGUUUAUGGUAAGAAUUUGGUAAAUAUUUAUCAUGUUCAGUCAUUUAAUUGUAAACACUAUGUUGAAUGUAUCUAUCUAUUGCAUCUAAUUUCCUAUGGGGUUCAACAGCCAAAGAUUAUAUGAAUCAUGAAAAGAUGAGUCUUGCUUUAAUCUCUUUAAAAAUAUAGCUACUUUGUUUUCUUUUUUUUUUUGUUGGAAAGA